AGAAAACAAAAUAGAAACUUUGGACAAUAAACAGAAACCCUGUUGUCUUGUUCUCAGGUGUAGCGUUCAGUGUGGCUCCUCCUGCAGUUCUUCUUGGCUCCCAGAGGUCAGCACCAGGCAGUGCUCUCAGGCAACUUUAAAAAGGAAUGUCACCUUGAACUCCAGUGGAAGGAAGUUAAUUGAAUUUUACUACAAGCAAACUUCUGGAAAAAUCAAGGUGUGGUCAUCAGAACUGUCCUUGAAAGGGGAGGAGUAGGCAAUCAGAUACCUCUGUAAUUGGAUUUGAAAUUACUGGUCCUUCCAUUGCACAAAUUAUAAAAAAAGAAGAGACGCACGAAGGAAAAGCGUUUUACCCAAGGUCACACAGUUAGUUGGUGUCAGAGCUGGGACUACAGCCCAACCAAGUCUCUAAGCUCAUAUCAAGUUUUUAUUUCUAUUCCAUCACUGCUCUAAUUUUCAGAGAGUGAAAUUUGCUACAUAUGGC
This 484-nucleotide long non-coding RNA is filed under the name Phascolarctos cinereus (koala). Its description in RNAcentral is "lncRNA (ENSPCIG00000004930.2)". The record is from RNAcentral. Lineage: Eukaryota; Metazoa; Chordata; Mammalia; Diprotodontia; Phascolarctidae.